GACGGAUCGGGUAGUGACAGUGAGCACUGCUGAGGGUCGCUUACGGUUGAGACCCGUUACACCUGCUCCGGAGCAGGUUGGGUUGCAGGCUAAGAGAUCAACUCAGUGCUGACCAAUCAGAGCUCAGUGUGCGGAGUUUAAAGCGAUCAAGUCAUCUUACAGGAGAAAGGAAAUACAGAAGAGCUGCCGUUGCAGGAAAGACGCCGACGUGUCGCACUUAUCAUUCAUAUCACAUCAUCAAUCACAUCAUUGAUCAUAUAAUAUUUUAGGAGCCAUUUCCUUAGAUUGUAGUAUCUUAUCUGUUUACAGUACAUAACCUGAGAUUCUGUGGUGUAGGCCUAUAUUAUUUAUUAUUUAAUUUGAGUGCGUUACUCUGCAGGUCGAGGUGCUGCAGCCUACUGGUGUGGCUGACUGAAGCAAACCGUUUUUAGACCUUGCUGGUUGGGAGCGUCACAGCUUGGUUCUUCUGCUUUAACAUUGAAAUAUCAGUUUAUAGGACAAAUAGUUUGUUUAAAAACGUUUAUUUAUUUUUGCCUUUUUUGGAAUAAACUAUCUGACUUUUCAAUCGCA
Long non-coding RNA from Gymnodraco acuticeps, 570 nucleotides. RefSeq lists it as uncharacterized. The record is from RefSeq and is a predicted model, not a curated record. The transcript has 2 exons. NCBI's taxonomy places the organism in Eukaryota, Metazoa, Chordata, Actinopteri, Perciformes, Bathydraconidae.